RNAcentral lists this ribosomal RNA (458 nucleotides) under uncultured bacterium. RNAcentral's name for it is "partial 16S ribosomal RNA". It matches the Rfam family "Bacterial small subunit ribosomal RNA", at positions 338 to 795 of the family's 1533-position model. The record is from RNAcentral.
CCUACGGGUGGCAGCAGUGGGGAAUAUUGCACAAUGGGGGAAACCCUGAUGCAGCGACGCCGCGUGAGUGAAGAAGUAAUUCGUUACGUAAAGCUCUAUCAGCAGGGAAGAAACACUGACCUUACGGUCAGCAGACGGUACCUGAGUAAGAAGCCCCGGCUAACUACGUGCCAGCAGCCGCGGUAAUACGUAGGGGGCAAGCGUUAUCCGGAUUUACUGGGUGUAAAGGGAGCGUAGACGGUGCGCCAAGUCUGGAGUGAAAUGCCGGGGCCCAACCCCGGAACUGCUCUGGAAACUGUGAAGCUGGAGUGCAGGAGAGGUAAGCGGAAUUCCUGGUGUAGCGGUGAAAUGCGUAGAUAUCAGGAGGAACACCGGCGGCGAAGGCGGCUUACUGGACUGUAACUGACGUUGAGGCUCGAAGGCGUGGGGAGCAAACAGGAUUAGAUACCCCUGUAGUC